CUACGGGAUGCUCCGGUGAGGAAUAUUGCACAAUGGAGGAAACUCUGAUGCAGCAACGCCGCGUGGAGGAUGACGCAUUUCGGUGUGUAAACUCCUUUUAUAUGUCAAGAAAAUGACGGUAGCAUAUGAAUAAGCUCCGGCUAACUCCGUGCCAGCAGCCGCGGUAAUACGGAGGGAGCAAGCGUUACUCGGAAUCACUGGGCGUAAAGGACGCGUAGGCGGGAUAGAAAGUCAGGUGUGAAAUCCUAUGGCUCAACCAUAGAACUGCACUUGAAACUUCUAACCUAGAGUAUGGGAGGGGAAGAUGGAAUUAGUGGUGUAGGGGUAAAAUCCGUAGAUAUCACUAGGAAUACCAAAAGCGAAGGCGAUCUUCUGGAACAAUACUGACGCUAAGGCGUGAAAGCGUGGGGAGCAAACAGGAUUAGAUACCCUUGUAGUC
RNAcentral lists this ribosomal RNA (439 nucleotides) under uncultured bacterium. RNAcentral's name for it is "partial 16S ribosomal RNA". It matches the Rfam family "Bacterial small subunit ribosomal RNA", at positions 339 to 795 of the family's 1533-position model. The record is from RNAcentral.